RNAcentral lists this unclassified non-coding RNA (429 nucleotides) under soil metagenome. RNAcentral's name for it is "partial contains 5.8S ribosomal RNA, internal transcribed spacer 2, and large subunit ribosomal RNA". The stretch from base 1 to 120 matches the Rfam family "5.8S ribosomal RNA", at positions 35 to 154 of the family's 154-position model. The record is from RNAcentral.
GAUGAAGAACGUAGUGAAACGCGAUACGUAAUGUGAAUUGCAGAAUUCAGUGAAUCAUCGAAUCUUUGAACGCACCUUGCGCCCCUCGGCAUUCCGAGGGGCAUGCCUGUUUGAGUGUCACGGAUCCUUCGAACCCCGCCGGUCUCCGACGAGCCGGCCGCCUGGGUUCGGUCCUGGGCGCUACGCCACCCCUCCGGGGUUGGCCCGCCUCAAAAGCAUCAGCUGGGCCUCGCGGCGUGGGCGGGCUCCGAUCGGCGUGAUAAGUCAUCUGCCGAGAGGGUGCCCGUCCGUCCCGCGGAUCGCGGUCCGCUCCCAACCCCUCCCCGCGCGCCGUCCCCCCCCCGGGGAGCGCGCGGGGACGUUUCGACGCUCUGGCCUCAAAUCAGGUAGGACCACCCGCUGAACUUAAGCAUAUCAAUAAGCGGAGGA